RNAcentral lists this ribosomal RNA (274 nucleotides) under uncultured bacterium. Its description in RNAcentral is "partial 16S ribosomal RNA". It matches the Rfam family "Bacterial small subunit ribosomal RNA", at positions 523 to 796 of the family's 1533-position model. The record is from RNAcentral.
CUACGGAGGGUCCAAGCGUUAUCCGGAAUCAUUGGGUUUAAAGGGUUCGUAGGCGGGUCAAUAAGUCAGAGGUGAAAUCUUGCAGCUUAACUGUAAAAUUGCCUUUGAAACUGUUGACCUUGAAUUACUGUGAAGUGGUUAGAAUAUGUAGUGUAGCGGUGAAAUGCUUAGAGAUUACAUAGAAUACCGAUUGCGAAGGCAGAUCACUAACAGUAUAUUGACGCUGAUGAACGAAAGCGUGGGUAGCGAACGGGAUUAGAAACCCUUGUAGUCC